CUGGAGGUAUCAGAAGUGCGAAUGCUGACAUAAGUAACGAUAAAGCGGGUGAAAAGCCCGCUCGCCGGAAGACCAAGGGUUCCUGUCCAACGUUAAUCGGGGCAGGGUGAGUCGACCCCUAAGGCGAGGCCGAAAGGCGUAGUCGAUGGGAAACGGGUUAAUAUUCCCGUACUUGGUGUUACUGCGAAGGGGGGACGGAGAAGGCUAUGUUGGCCGGGCGACGGUUGUCCCGGUUUAAGCGUGUAGGUGUGUGUUCCAGGUAAAUCCGGUUCACUUUAACACUGAGGCGUGAUGACGAGGCACUACGGUGCUGAAGCAACAAAUGCCCUGCUUCCAGGAAAAGCCUCUAAGCAUCAGGUAACAUCAAAUCGUACCCCAAACCGACACAGGUGGUCAGGUAGAGAAUACCAAGGCGCUUGAGAGAACUCGGGUGAAGGAACUAGGCAAAAUGGUGCCGUAACUUCGGGAGAAGGCACGCUGACACGUAGGUGAAGUGAUUUACUCAUGGAGCUGAAGUCAGUCGAAGAUACCAGCUGGCUGCAACUGUUUAUUAAAAACACAGCACUGUGCAAACACGAAAGUGGACGUAUACGGUGUGACGCCUGCCCGGUGCCGGAAGGUUAAUUGAUGGGGUCAGCGCAAGCGAAGCUCCUGAUCGAAGCCCCGGUAAACGGCGGCCGUAACUAUAACGGUCCUAAGGUAGCGAAAUUCCUUGUCGGGUAAGUUCCGACCUGCACGAAUGGCGUAAUGAUGGCCAGGCUGUCUCCACCCGAGACUCAGUGAAAUUGAACUCGCUGUGAAGAUGCAGUGUACCCGCGGCAAGACGGAAAGACCCCGUGAACCUUUACUAUAGCUUGACACUGAACAUUGAGCCUUGAUGUGUAGGAUAGGUGGGAGGCUUUGAAGUGUGGACGCCAGUCUGCAUGGAGCCGGCCUUGAAAUACCACCCUUUAAUGUUUGAUGUUCUAACGUGGACCCGUGAUCCGGGUUGCGGACAGUGUCUGGUGGGUAGUUUGACUGGGGCGGUCUCCUCCUAAAGAGUAACGGAGGAGCACGAAGGUUGGCUAAUCCUGGUCGGACAUCAGGAGGUUAGUGCAAUGGCAUAAGCCAGCUUGACUGCGAGCGUGACGGCGCGAGCAGGUGC
This 1144-nucleotide ribosomal RNA is filed under the name Salmonella enterica subsp. enterica serovar Schwarzengrund. Its description in RNAcentral is "partial 23S ribosomal RNA". It matches the Rfam family "Bacterial large subunit ribosomal RNA", at positions 1273 to 2400 of the family's 2925-position model. The record is from RNAcentral. Lineage: Bacteria; Pseudomonadati; Pseudomonadota; Gammaproteobacteria; Enterobacterales; Enterobacteriaceae.